Molecule: long non-coding RNA, 1228 nt
Organism: Synchiropus splendidus (mandarinfish)
Lineage: Eukaryota; Metazoa; Chordata; Actinopteri; Syngnathiformes; Callionymidae
Exons: 4
Source: RefSeq, a predicted model, not a curated record
GGGACAUUUGUCACCGUGAGAGGAAGUGUGGCGCUGGAUGAGGAAGUCAGGAGUGACAUGCAAGUGAGUGUGACAUGUACUGUAUGAGGACGCCGGCAAGAGAGAGGGUGAUGGGUGCCUUUCUUAAGGUGGAGCUGCAACUCCUGCUCCUCCGUCGCCGCCGCGAACGCCACCCAUGGAUUUCCUGUGACGCGUGUUUACCACAGGUGGAGAGGCCGUCUGACUCACACGCAGGCUCCCAGUUAAAUCACAGCUCAAUGAAGGAAAAUGUUAAAUCACUUGGUGUAGCUCUUCACAUGGGACCUAGAGUUGAGCAGAGUCAAAGGAAUAAAAACAGCUACAUUCAAAGGCGAUUUUAAAACGGCAAAAGGCCCGGUGAUGUCCUCAGAACUGUGGCUGGUCUGACCCCACCGUCUCACCUCAUCACAUCUACACCUCGGCUUCUGCCUCCUCAGAUCCUCACGAGUCCUUGUACGCUCUUCCAAAGUCAAAGCUGCGAUCCAAAAGGUGAUCGAACAUUUGCCAUCAGGCCAACAGGAAGCCGCCGCCGCCGCCGCUGCCUGCCUGAGGAGAUAAGACUCACCAGAGCUGUCUUUAUCUUCCCAGGAGCCAUAUCUCGGGGGGUAUACCAAUAAAGUUAUUAAACAUUUCACGCCGGGGUCUGAGCUGUGCUGGGAUGUUCCAUUAGUUAAUCUAACUCAAAGUCAUUUAACGCUGAGUUUAUGAGCGAAAACUGAAAGAAGACUUGAAAGUGUUUUGGGAUAUACGAAUAUGAAUAUUGUAAAUAUUUCACCCUGCACCCGAACACACCUGCGCCUGGGUCCGUCCCUGGUGUCUGGGCUCGCCACAGAGCCGCGCGGGUGGCUGCGCUCCACUUGACACGUGGCUCCAUUUUCUCAGCGAAGACACGGAGGAUGAGCACGGCUGCACGCUGUGAUGGCUUAAUUAUGGCGGCACUGGGGAGGAUGUGGAGGCGACUGCGAGGAAACAAGGGGAGAUGUGCUGAUAAGCUGCUCCUGGACCGUUGGCAUGAGGCGGCGGAGAGAAGUGCCAUGGCUGCGUUUACACAAGGAAGAAAAAGGUGGAAACCAAAAAGACAAGUGAUUUCGAGCGGACUGGACUCGGAGAAUGCAUGAAAACGUGACGUGUUUUUGGUAACGUGGCUCUGUUCACGUGCAUUUGGAUGGAUGCCAAGUUCAACGUUCAAACAAUGUGUUGAAUACGAAUG